AGCAGCCGCGGUAAUUCCAGCUCCAAUAGCGUAUAUUAAAGUUGUUGCAGUUAAAAGCUCGUAGUUGAAUUUCGGGGUUCUACCGUUGGUCGGGCAAUAGUCUGUACUGGCGUGUAGAAUUUCUACCUUCUGGGGAACCAUCAUGUUAUUUAUUUAGCGUGGUGGGAAACCAGGACCUUUACCUUGAAAAAUUAGAGUGUCAAAGCAGGCUUACGUCUGAAUACAUUAGCAUGGAAUAAUAAAAUAGGACGGUGGUCCUGUUUUGUUGGUUUCUGAAUCACCGUAAUGAUUAAUAGGGAUAGUUGGGGGCAUUAGUAUUCAAUUGUCAGAGGUGAAAAUUCUUGGAUUUAUUGAAGACUAACUUCUGCGAAAGCAUUUGCCAAGGAUGUUUUCAUUAAUCAAGAACGAGAGUUAGGGGGAUUCGAAGACGUCAGAUACCGUCGUAGUCUUAACCAUAAACUAUGCCGACUAGGGAUCGGACGAUGUUAAUCUUUCUUGACUCG
RNAcentral lists this ribosomal RNA (503 nucleotides) under uncultured Gigaspora. RNAcentral describes it as "SSU rRNA". It matches the Rfam family "Eukaryotic small subunit ribosomal RNA", at positions 569 to 1078 of the family's 1831-position model. Lineage: Eukaryota; Fungi; Glomeromycota; Glomeromycetes; Diversisporales; Gigasporaceae. The record is from RNAcentral.